RNAcentral lists this ribosomal RNA (503 nucleotides) under uncultured bacterium. RNAcentral describes it as "partial 16S ribosomal RNA". It matches the Rfam family "Bacterial small subunit ribosomal RNA", at positions 30 to 523 of the family's 1533-position model. The record is from RNAcentral.
AUUGAACGCUGGCGGCAGGCUUAACACAUGCAAGUCGAGCGGGGUGAUGGUGCUUGCACUAUCACUUAGCGGCGGACGGGUGAGUAAUGCUUAGGAAUCUGCCUAUUAGUAGGGGACAACAUCUCGAAAGGGAUGCUAAUACCGCAUACGUCCUACGGGAGAAAGCAGGGGAUCACUUGUGACCUUGCGCUAAUAGAUGAGCCUAAGUCGGAUUAGCUAGUUGGUGGGGUAAAGGCCUACCAAGGCGACGAUCUGUAGCGGGUCUGAGAGGAUGAUCCGCCACAGUGGGACUGAGACACGGCCCAGACGCCGACGGGAGGCAGCAGUGGGGAAUAUUGGACAAUGGGGGGAACCCUGAUCCUGCCAUGCCGCGUGUGUGAAGAAGGCCUUAUGGUUGUAAAGCACUUUAAGCGAGGAGGAGGCUCUUUUGGUUAAUACCCAAGAUGAGUGGACGUUACUCGCGGAAUAAGCACCGGCUAACUCUGUGCCAGCCGCCGCCGUAA